UACAGAGGUCUCAAGCGUUGUUCGGAUUCAUUGGGCGUAAAGGGUGCGUAGGCGGCGCGGUAAGUCGGGUGUGAAAUCUUGGAGCUUAACUCCGAAACUGCAUUCGAUACUGCCGUGCUUGAGGACUGGAGAGGAGACUGGAAUUUACGGUGUAGCGGUGAAAUGCGUAGAUAUCGGGAAGAACACCCGUGGCGAAGGCGGCUCUCUGGGCAAUUCCUGACGCUGAGGCGCGAAAGCGUGGGGAGCAAACGGG
Molecule: ribosomal RNA, 253 nt
Filed under: uncultured bacterium
Lineage: Bacteria
Description: partial 16S ribosomal RNA
Rfam family: Bacterial small subunit ribosomal RNA
Source: RNAcentral